UACGGAGGAUGCAAGCGUUAUCCGGAAUGAUUGGGCGUAAAGCGUCCGCAGGUGGCUAUGUAAGUCUGCUGUUAAAGAGUGAGGCUCAACCUCAUAAGAGCAGUGGAAACUACAUGGCUAGAGUGCGUUCGGGGCAGAGGGAAUUCCUGGUGUAGCGGUGAAAUGCGUAGAGAUCAGGAAGAACACCGGUGGCGAAAGCGCUCUGCUAGGCCGCAACUGACACUGAGGGACGAAAGCUAGGGGAGCGAAGGGG
This 253-nucleotide ribosomal RNA is filed under the name uncultured bacterium. RNAcentral describes it as "partial 16S ribosomal RNA". It matches the Rfam family "Bacterial small subunit ribosomal RNA", at positions 524 to 776 of the family's 1533-position model. The record is from RNAcentral.